CGCUGGCGGCGUGCCUAACACAUGCAAGUCGAGCGAGGAGAUCCUUCGGGAUGAUCCUAGCGGCGGACGGGUGAGUAACACGUGGGCAACCUGCCUCAUAGAGAGGAAUAGCCUUCCGAAAGGGAGAUUAAUACCUCGUAACAUUGCAGUUUCGCAUGGAACAGCAAUUAAAGGAGUAAUCCGCUAUGAGAUGGGCCCGCGGCGCAUUAGCUAGUUGGUGGGGUAAUGGCUCACCAAGGCGACGAUGCGUAGCCGACCUGAGAGGGUGAUCGGCCACAUUGGGACUGAGACACGGCCCAGACUCCUACGGGAGGCAGCAGUGGGGAAUAUUGCACAAUGGGGGAAACCCUGAUGCAGCCAACGCCGCGUGAGUGAUGACGGCCUUCGGGUUGUAAAGCUCUGUCUUCAGGGACGAUAAUGACGGUACCUGAGGAGGAAGCCACGGCUAACUACGUGCCAGCAGCAGC
RNAcentral lists this ribosomal RNA (467 nucleotides) under uncultured bacterium. Its description in RNAcentral is "bacterial SSU rRNA". It matches the Rfam family "Bacterial small subunit ribosomal RNA", at positions 34 to 518 of the family's 1533-position model. The record is from RNAcentral.